RNAcentral lists this ribosomal RNA (253 nucleotides) under uncultured bacterium. RNAcentral describes it as "partial 16S ribosomal RNA". It matches the Rfam family "Bacterial small subunit ribosomal RNA", at positions 524 to 776 of the family's 1533-position model. The record is from RNAcentral.
UACGGGGGGAGCAAGCGUUGUUCGGAUUUACUGGGCGUAAAGGGCGCGUAGGCGGCCCGACAAGUCCGCUGUGAAAGUCAGGGGCUCAACCCUUGGAUGCCGGUGGAUACUGUCGGGCUAGAGUCCGGAAGAGGCGAGUGGAAUUCCUGGUGUAGCGGUGAAAUGCGCAGAUAUCAGGAGGAACACCGAUGGCGAAGGCAGCUCGCUGGGACGGUACUGACGCUGAGGCGCGAAAGCGUGGGGAGCAAACAGG